GCCCGGGUGGCGGAAUCGGUAGACGCACGGGACUUAAAAUCCCGGGCCUUAGUGCGUGCGGGUUCGAGUCCCGCCCCGGGCA
RNAcentral lists this transfer RNA (82 nucleotides) under Armatimonadota bacterium. Its description in RNAcentral is "tRNA-Leu". It matches the Rfam family "tRNA". Rfam says of the family: Transfer RNA (tRNA) molecules are approximately 80 nucleotides in length. Their secondary structure includes four short double-helical elements and three loops (D, anti-codon, and T loops). The record is from RNAcentral. Lineage: Bacteria; Bacillati; Armatimonadota.